AGCAGCCGCGGUAAUUCCAGCUCCAAUAGCGUAUAUUAAAGUUGUUGCAGUUAAAAAGCUCGUAGUUGAAUUUCGGGGUUAAUAAGUUGGUCGUACCUAUGGUAUGUACUGGCUUUAUUGAUUCCUACCUCUUGACGAACUGUGAUGCCAUUAAUUUGGUGUUGCAAGGAAUCAGGACUGUUACCUUGAAAAAAUUAGAGUGUUUAAAGCAGGCUUACGCUUGAAUACAUUAGCAUGGAAUAAUGAAAUAGGACGUUUGAACCUAUUUUGUUGGUUUCUGGGAUCGACGUAAUGAUUAAUAGGGAUAGUUGGGGGCAUUAGUAUUCAAUUGUCAGAGGUGAAAUUCUUGGAUUUAUUGAAGACUAACUACUGCGAAAGCAUUUGCCAAGGAUGUUUUCAUUAAUCAAGAACGAAAGUUAGGGGAUCGAAGACGAUCAGAUACCGUCGUAGUCUUAACCAUAAACUAUGCCGACUAGGGAUCGGAUGAUGUUAAUUUUUAAUGACUCAUUCGGCGCCUUAC
Molecule: ribosomal RNA, 520 nt
Filed under: uncultured Glomus
Lineage: Eukaryota; Fungi; Glomeromycota; Glomeromycetes; Glomerales; Glomeraceae
Description: SSU rRNA
Rfam family: Eukaryotic small subunit ribosomal RNA
Source: RNAcentral